RNAcentral lists this ribosomal RNA (274 nucleotides) under uncultured bacterium. RNAcentral describes it as "partial 16S ribosomal RNA". It matches the Rfam family "Bacterial small subunit ribosomal RNA", at positions 523 to 796 of the family's 1533-position model. The record is from RNAcentral.
AUACGGAGGGUGCAAGCGUUAAUCGGAAUUACUGGGCGUAAAGCGUACGUAGGCGGUUAUUUAAGUCAGAUGUGAAAGCCCCGGGCUCAACUUGGGAACUGCAUUUGAAACUGGGUAACUAGAGUUUAGUAGAGGGGAGUGGAAUUUCAGGUGUAGCGGUGAAAUGCGUAGAGAUCUGAAGGAACACCAGUGGCGAAGGCGACUCCCUGGACUAAAACUGACGCUGAGGUACGAAAGCGUGGGUAGCAAACAGGAUUAGAAACCCUAGUAGUCC